RNAcentral lists this long non-coding RNA (2919 nucleotides) under Pelobates cultripes (western spadefoot toad). The record is from RNAcentral. Lineage: Eukaryota; Metazoa; Chordata; Amphibia; Anura; Pelobatidae.
GUUCAAUAUUGGUAAUAUGAUUCUUAAUGAUGUUUAUACGAUUUAUCAUGUUAUACAGUCAGGUCCAUAAAUAUUGGGACAUCAAAAUAAUUAUUUUUCUCUAUACACCACCACAAUGGAUUUGAAAGGAAAUCAGCUUUAAUUUGAGGGUAUUUACAUCCAAAUCAGGUGAACAGUGUAGGAAUUACAACAGUUUGUAUAUGUGCCUCCCACUUUUCAAGGGACAAAAAGUAAUGGGACAAUUGGCUGCUCAGCUGUUCCAUGGCCAGGUGUGUGUUAUUCCCUCAUUAUCCUAUUUACAAGGAGCAGAUAAAAGGUCCAGAGUUCAUUUCAAGUGUGCUAUUUGCAUUUGGAAUCUGUUGCUGUCAACUCUCAAUAUAAGAUCCAAAGAGCUGUCAUUAUUAGUGAAGCAAGCCAUCGUUAGGCUGAAAAAAACAAAACAAACCCAUCAGAGAGAUAGCAAAAACAUUAGGUGUGGCCAAAUCAACUGUUUGGAACAUCCUGAAAAAGAAAGAAUGCACCGAUGAGCUCAGCAACACCAAAAGACCCGGAAGACCACAGAAAACAACUGUGGUGGAUGACCAAAGAAUUCUUUCCCUGGUGACGAUAACACCCUUCACAACAGUUAGCCAGAUCAAGAACACUUUCCAGGAGGUAGGUGUAUAUGUGUCAAAGUCAACAAUUAAGAGAAGACUUCCCCAGAGUGAAUACAGAGGGUUCACCACAAGAUGUAAACCAUUGGUGAGCCUCAAAAACAGGAAGGCCAGAUUAGAGUUUGACAAACAACAUCUAAGAAAGCCUUCACAGUUCUGGAACAACAUGCUGUGGACAGAUGAGACCAAGAUCAACUUGUAGCAGAGUGAUGGGAAGAGAAAAGUAUGGAGAAGGAAAGGAACUGCUCAUGAUCCAAAGCCUACCACCUCAUCAGUGAAGCAUGGUGGUGGUAGUGUCAUGGCGUGGGCAUGUAUGGCUGCCAAUGGAACUGGUUCUCUUGUAUUUAUUGAUGAUGUGACUGCUGACAAAAGCAGCAGGAUGAAUUCUGCAGUGUUUUGGGCCAUAUUAUCUGCUCAUAUUCAGCCAAAUGCUUCAGAACUCAUUGGACGGCGCUUCACAGUGCAGAUGGACAAUGACCCGAAUCAUACUGCAGAAGCAACCAAAGAGUUUUUUAAGGGAAAGAAGUGGAAUGUUAUGCAAUGGCCAAGUCAAUCACCUGACCUGAAUCCGAUUGAGCAUGCAUUUCACUUGAUGAAGACAAAACUGAAGGGAAAAUGCCCCAAGAACAAGCAGAAACUGAAGACAGUUGCAGUAGAGGCCUGGCUGAGCAUCACCAGGGAUGAAACCCAGUGUCUGGUGAUGUCUAUGCGUUCCAGACUUCAGGCUGUAAUUGACUGCAAAGGAUUUGCAACCAAGUAUUAAAAAGUGAAAGUUUGAUUUAUGACUGCUAAUCUGUCCCAUUACUUUUGGUCCCUUAAAAAGUGGGAGGCACUCUGUAUCUCUGCCCUGUGAGUUCUCUGAUGUUUGGUAAGAUCUGAGCGCUGGAUAAAACAUUUCCCACAUUCAGAACAUGAGUAAGGUUUCUCUCCUGUGUGUGUUCUUUGAUGUGCAAUAAAAUUAGUUUGAUGACUAAAAGAUUUUCCACAUUCAGAACAUAAGUAAGGUUUCUCUCCUGUGUGAGUUCUCUGAUGUGCAACAAGAUGUGAAUGCUGGCUAAAACAUUUCCCACAUUUAGAACAUGAGAAAGGUUUGUCUCCUGUGUGAGUUCUCUCAUGUCUAACAAGAUCCGAUUUACUUUGAAAACAUUUUCCACAUUCAGAACAUGAAUAAGGUUUCUCUCCUGUGUGAGUUCCCUGAUGCUUUGUAAGAACUGAGCGCUGGCUAAAACAUUUCCCACAUUCAGAACAUGAGAAAGGUUUAUCCCCUGUGUGAGUUCUCUGAUGUAAAAGAAGAUGUGCACGCCGACUAAAACAUUUCCCACAUUCAGAGCAUGAGAGCAGUUUCUCUCCUGUGUGAGUUCUCUGAUGUGUCACAAGGAUGGAGUGCCGGUUAAAACAUUUCCCACAUUCAGAACAUGAAAAAGGUUUCUCUCCUGUGUGAGUUCUCUGAUGUCUAAUAAGAAGCGAAUGCCGACUAAAACAUUUCUCACAUUCCGUACAUGAGAAAGGUUUCUCGCCUGUGUGAGUUAUCUGAUGUCUAACAAGAUCAAAUUUACUGUGAAAACAUUUCUCACAUUCAGAACAUGAGAAUGGUUUCUCUCCUGUGUGAAAUCUCUGAUGUCUAAGAAGUUCUGAUUUACAAACAAAACUUUUCCCACAUUCAGAACAGAAGAAAGAUUUAUCUCCUGUGUGAAUUCUCUGAUGUAUGACUAGUUGUGUUUUACAAACAAAACAUUUCCCACAUUCAGAACAUGAGAAAGGUUUCUCUCCUGAGUGAAUUCGCUGAUGUUUAACAAGAUGCGUCUGUUGACUAAAAUAUUUCCUACAUUCAGAGCAUGAGAACUGUUUCUCUCCUGUGUGAGUUUUCUGAUGUCUCACAAGAUCUGAAUUACAGGGAAAACUUUUCCCACACUCAGAACAAUAGAAAGGUUUAUCUAUUUUGUGAAUUCUCUGAUGUUUCAUAAGAUAUGAGCGCUGAUUAAAACAUUUCCCACAUUCAGAACAUGAAAAAGGUUUUUCUCCCGUGUGAGUCCUGAAGUGGAUAACAAAUUUUGAAUAACGGCUAAAACAUUUCCCACAUUCAGAACAUGGAAAAUGUUUUAUAUUUCCGUUUACUAUGUCAUUUGUAGACAUUCUGAGAGAUUUCUUGAAAUUUGAGAGCUGGAAUCUUUGGUCCUUUCUUAAAGGAUUUCUUCAUAGUCUUGCUUAAUGUAUUUCUGUUCUUAUCAUGUGCUUCACGGUAACUUCAGCUGACAGAAACCUGAAA